GACGAACGCUGGCGGCGUGCUUAACACAUGCAAGUUGAGCGACGAACCAGGGCUUGCCCUGGGGCAGAGCCGCGAACGGGUGAGUAACACGUGGGUAACGUGCCCCGCUGACCGGGACAGCCCGAGGAAAAUCGUGCUAACACCGGAUGUUGACCUCUCACAUCAGCGAGUUGUCGAACGUUAUCUUCGGCUUCCGCCUGGGGGGCGUCCCGCGGUCCAUUAGCUUGUUGGUGAGGUAACGGCUUACCAAGGCUUCGAUGGGUAGCUGGUCUGAGAGGACGAUCAGCCACACUGGGACUGAGACACGGCCCAGACUCCUACGGGAGGCAGCAGUGGGGAAUCUUGCGCAAUGCGCGAAAGCGUGACGCAGCAACGCCGCGUGGGGGAAGACGGCCUUCGGGUUGUAAACCCCUUUCAGGAGGGACGAAGGUCACACGGUUAAUAGCCGGCGUGACUGACGGUACCUCCAGAAGAAGCCCCGGCUAACUACGUGCCAGCAGCCGCGGUAA
This 509-nucleotide ribosomal RNA is filed under the name uncultured bacterium. RNAcentral describes it as "partial 16S ribosomal RNA". It matches the Rfam family "Bacterial small subunit ribosomal RNA", at positions 28 to 523 of the family's 1533-position model. The record is from RNAcentral.